RNAcentral lists this long non-coding RNA (337 nucleotides) under Hordeum vulgare. RNAcentral's name for it is "long non-coding RNA (HVUL_LNC000491)". Lineage: Eukaryota; Viridiplantae; Streptophyta; Magnoliopsida; Poales; Poaceae. The record is from RNAcentral.
UUUUCUUUUAAACGAGGCAAAAGAUUUAUCAUUUUCAUUGAUUAAAAAAAAGAGAAUAGCCCGGUUAAUUAAAGAAAAACCGAGAUUACAAACCCCACAUGGGGCACCCGAACGACAGCCAAACAGUCGACCGACAAGACAACUUCGAUUUUGGCAACAAGCUUCACAUAAAAAAUUGCAAGCCUCACACCAACACAGUCCUGCGGAACAUCCGAAGAGCAUCGCCGCUAAACCCGUCCUCUUGGCACCACAACUAGUAUUGUAGUUGAUUGGAGCGGAAUAAUUUUACAAGAUGGACUCAGGUCCUUUUAUAGGUGAUGCAAAUUGACUAUGGCUG